CCUCCCUCUUGCUGCGUGCUUAACACAUGCAAGUCGAACGGAAAGGCCCUGCUUGCAGGGUACUCGAGUGGCGAACGGGUGAGUAACACGUGGGUGAUCUGCCCUGCACUUCGGGAUAAGCUUGGGAAACUGGGUCUAAUACCGGAUAGGAGCCAUCUUUAGUGUGGUGGUUGGAAAGUUUUUUCGGUGUAGGAUGAGCUCGCGGCCUAUCAGCUUGUUGGUGGGGUAAUGGCCUACCAAGGCGGCGACGGGUAGCCGGCCUGAGAGGGUGUACGGCCACAUUGGGACUGAGAUACGGCCCAGACUCCUACGGGAGGCAGCAGUGGGGAAUAGUGCACAAUGGGCGCAAGCCUGAUGCAGCGACGCCGCGUGGGGGAUGAAGGCCUUCGGGUUGUAAACUCCUUUCGCUAGGGACGAAGCUUUUUUGUGACGGUACCUAGAUAAGAAGCACCGGCUAACUACGUG
RNAcentral lists this ribosomal RNA (465 nucleotides) under uncultured bacterium. Its description in RNAcentral is "partial 16S ribosomal RNA". It matches the Rfam family "Bacterial small subunit ribosomal RNA", at positions 36 to 507 of the family's 1533-position model. The record is from RNAcentral.